Molecule: long non-coding RNA, 1559 nt
Organism: Oncorhynchus keta (chum salmon)
Lineage: Eukaryota; Metazoa; Chordata; Actinopteri; Salmoniformes; Salmonidae
Exons: 5
Source: RefSeq, a predicted model, not a curated record
GUCUAAAUAAAGACACCUUGGUCUCAGCAUUGACUCCCUGUCUAAAUAAAGACACAUCGGUCUCAGCAUUGACUCCCUGUCUAAAUAAAGACACAUUGGUCUCAGCAUUGACUCCCUGUCUAAAUAAAGACACAUUGGUCUCAGCAUUGACUCCCUGUCUAAAUAAAGACACCUUGGUCUCAGCAUUGACUCCCUGUCUAAAUAAAGACACCCUGGUUUCAGCACUGACUCCCUGUCUAAAUAAAGACACCUUGGUCUCAGCACUGACUCCCUGUCUAAAUAAAGACACAUCGGUCUCAGCAUUGACUCCCUGUCUAAAUAAAGACACCUUGGUCUCAGCACUGACUCCCUGUCUAAAUAAAGACACAUUGGUCUCAGCAUUGACUCCCUGUCUAAAUAAAGACACCUUGGUCUCAGCACUGACUCCCUGUCUAAAUAAAGACACAUUGGUCUCAGCAUUGACUCCCUGUCUAAAUAAAGACACCUUGGUCUCAGCACUGACUCCCUGUCUAAAUAAAGACACCUUGGUCUCAGCAUUGACUCCCUGUCUAAAUAAAGACACAUCGGUCUCAGCAUUAACUCCCUGUCUAAAUAAAGACACCUUGGUCUCAGCAUUGACUCCCUGUCUAAAUAAAGACACCGUGGUCUCAGCUUUGACUCCUUCUCUAAAUAAUGGUUAAAUAGAAUAUAACAAAUAAUGGGGUUGUCUGGUCGUGUAUAGACAAUGUGCUCUGUUGCUUUAGAUCUCAGGUAUUAGUCUUUCUGCAGCUUGGCAGUGUUGGGCCGUUCUGCCCAUGUAUCCCAGGUUGCUACAGUCUUUCUGCAGCUUGGCAGUGUUGGGCCGUUCUGCCCAUGUAUCCCAGGUUGCUACAGUCUCUCUGCAGCUUGGCAGUGUUGGGCCGUUCUGCCCAUGUAUCCCAGGUUGCUACAGUCUCUCUGCAGCUUGGCAGUGUUGGGCCGUUCUGCCCAUGUAUCCCAGGUUGCUACAGUCUUUCUGCAGCUUGGCAGUGUUGGGCCGUUCUGCCCAUGUAUCCCAGGUUGCUACAGUCUUUCUGCAGCUUGGCAGUGUUGGGCCGUUCUGCCCAUGUAUCCCAGGUUGAUACAGUCUUUCUGCUGCUUGGGAGUGUUGGGCCGUUCUGCCCAUGUAUCCCAGGUUGCUACAGUCUCUCUGCAGCUUGGCAGUGUUGGGCCGUUCUGCCCAUGUAUCCCAGGUUGCUACAGUCUUUCUGCAGCUUGGCAGUGUUGGGCCGUUCUGCCCAUGUAUCCCAGGUUGCUACAGUCUCUCUGCAGCUUGGCAGUGUUGGGCCGUUCUGCCCAUGUAUCCCAGGUUGCUACAGUCUUUCUGCAGCUUGGCAGUGUUGGGCCGUUCUGCCCAUGUAUCCCAGGUUGCUACAGUCUUUCUGCAGCUUGGCAGUGUUGGGCCGUUCUGCCCAUGUAUCCCAGGUUGCUACAGUCUUUCUGCAGCUUGGCAGUGUUGGGCCGUUCUGCCCAUGUAUCCCAGGUUGCUACAGUCUUUCUGCAGCUUGGCAGUGUUGGGCCGUUCUGCCCAUGUAUCCCAG